Molecule: long non-coding RNA, 1257 nt
Organism: Canis lupus familiaris (dog)
Lineage: Eukaryota; Metazoa; Chordata; Mammalia; Carnivora; Canidae
Exons: 4
Source: RefSeq, a predicted model, not a curated record
GAGAGAGAGAGGAUGGUUGCACCGCAUUGUUGGUUGUGCUAAAUGCCAGCAACUCGUACACUUUUAAAACGGUUAAUUUUAUGUCCCGUGAAUUUUAUCUCCUUAAAAAAAAAGUUAAGUGUCUCUUAAGCAUUUUUCAUUUUCCUUUUGCUUCUGUCGAAAAGUCAGAGAAGAAACACUUAGAUAAUAAGUGACCAUCAUCUGGGUGUGGUUUCCUUUCGGGGCUCGACGACUCCCGGGUCUCCCUCUGGUGGCCAAAUUAAGCAACAGGUCAAGAUGUCGGGAGGCCUUGGGGCCUGUGUCAAUGACCUGUGGAAGCGCGGGUACCAGGCUGCUGGGCUCAGAAGCGACCUCUCAGGACCUGGGGCCCUGUGCGUUUUGUCCCAGUCACGUGCACGGUUCAGGGCUGUUUUACUGAACCGGGAUCACAGGGGUCUUGCUUCUGUGGGGUCACGGGUAUUAAUUGUAAAUUAGCCAUUUCAAAUGCCUCCCUGACUCUCAAGGCAGAACCAAACCUAUUGUCAUUUCUCCUAGACUACAAACCCGAGUUAAGUUGCUCAUUUAAGUGUUUAGUUUCAAUAGAGCAUAAACGUGAUGGAAAAAAGCCAAUUCUAACAGCCGCCCUGGAAAAGCUAUUUUUACAUGCGAGAGGGGGAAGGGCUGGCUUUGUCUUGUGACUCACUCUUCUGAGAAAGACUUAGGUUGGGGCCAAGGUAACCUUUGAAAUAGAUGUUUAAAAAAAAAAAAGAAAAGAAAAGAAAAAGUGAAUCCAGCAUCUGGAUGUGUUCUUAGGAGAUUUAGAAAUCGGUCAUGGAUGUCCAAUCAGAACGGUGUAACCAGCUUUUGGAAUAGUACCUGCCAGAAAAGUAACACGGAGUAACUACUUGUUGAACAGACACAGAGAGAGAGAGGCAGAGACAUAGGAAGAGGCUCCCUGUGGGGAGCCUGAUGUGGGACUCCAUCCCAGGACCCUGGAAUCACCACCUGAGGCAAAGGCAGGUGCUCAACCACUGAGCCACCCAGGUGCCCGAGGCUGGAUUUUAUAUAUGUACACACACGUAUAAUCUCAGCUAUCCUUUGGUAAUUUUCUGCAAAUUGGACCUUGAAGAAGUAAAGAAAACAAUAAAGGGAGCUUCUCGCUGGACUACCUGUUGGAUGAUGACUAAUAGUGAGAAAUAAGUUUGAAAAAAUAGCUUAGGUUCAGAUAGUGGAAGUUCCUGAUAUACUUAAAAAUAAAUUUAUUGAAUUUUUCCAUCA